AAAUUGAAGAGUUUGAUCAUGGCUCAGAUUGAACGCUGGCGGCAGGCCUAACACAUGCAAGUCGAACGGUAACAGGAAGCAGCUUGCUGCUUCGCUGACGAGUGGCGGACGGGUGAGUAAUGUCUGGGAAACUGCCUGAUGGAGGGGGAUAACUACUGGAAACGGUGGCUAAUACCGCAUAACGUCGCAAGACCAAAGAGGGGGACCUUUGGGCCUCUUGCCAUCAGAUGUGCCCAGAUGGGAUUAGCUUGUUGGUGAGGUAACGGCUCACCAAGGCGACGAUCCCUAGCUGGUCUGAGAGGAUGACCAGCCACACUGGAACUGAGACACGGUCCAGACUCCUACGGGAGGCAGCAGUGGGGAAUAUUGCACAAUGGGCGCAAGCCUGAUGCAGCCAUGC
This 400-nucleotide ribosomal RNA is filed under the name Salmonella enterica. Its description in RNAcentral is "bacterial SSU rRNA". It matches the Rfam family "Bacterial small subunit ribosomal RNA", at positions 1 to 397 of the family's 1533-position model. Lineage: Bacteria; Pseudomonadati; Pseudomonadota; Gammaproteobacteria; Enterobacterales; Enterobacteriaceae. RNAcentral also lists the same sequence under 1 other name. The record is from RNAcentral.